CUACGAAGGUCCCGAGCGUUAUUCGGAAUCACUGGGCGUAAAGGGAGCGUAGGCUGUAGGGUAAGUCAGAUGUGAAAUCUCAGAGCUCAACUCUGAAACUGCAUCCGAUACUGCCGUACUAGAGUAAUGGAGGGGUAACUGGAAUUCUCGGUGUAGCAGUGAAAUGCGUAGAUAUCGAGAGGAAGACCAACGGCGAAGGCAGGUUACUGGACAUUUACUGACGCUGAGGCUCGAAGGCUAGGGUAGCGAAAGGGAUUAGAAACCCUAGUAGUCC
RNAcentral lists this ribosomal RNA (274 nucleotides) under uncultured bacterium. RNAcentral describes it as "partial 16S ribosomal RNA". It matches the Rfam family "Bacterial small subunit ribosomal RNA", at positions 523 to 796 of the family's 1533-position model. The record is from RNAcentral.